GUUCGUUAUUAAGGGCGCAUGGUGGAUGCCUUGGCAUGCUGAGCCGAUGAAGGACGUGAAAGGCUGCGUUAAGCCUCGGGGAGUUGUCAAUUAAGCGUUGAUCCGAGGAUGUCCGAAUGGGGAAACCUGGCCCUGGUUAUGUGGGGUUACCCUUCAGUGAAUUCAUAGCUGUUGUGGGGGUUUACGCGGGGAAGUGAAACAUCUCAGUACCCGUAGGAGAAGAAAAUAAUAAUGAUUCUGCUAGUAGUGGCGAACGAACGUGGAUGAGGCUAAACCGUGUGCAUGUGAUACCUGGUAGGGGUUGUGUGUGCGGUGUUGUGGGCCCUGAUGUGCGGUGACUACCAUCAUCGUGCUUGCGCAUUGUUGUUAGGUGAAGUGGUUUGGAAUGGCCUGCCGGAGUAGGUGAGAGUCCUGUAGCUGAAGAUGAUGAUGUGUGGGUUGUUGGGUUGCCCGAGUAGCAGCGGGCUCGUGGAAUCUGCUGUGAAUCUGCCGGGACCACCCGGUAAGCCUAAAUACUCAGUGUGACCGAUAGUGUAUGAGUACCGUGAGGGAAUGGUGAAAAGUACCCCGGGAGGGGAGUGAAAUAGUUCCUGAAACCAUGUGCUUACAAUCCGUCAGAGCACCGUGUGUGUGUGAUGGCGUGCCUUUUGAAGAAUGAGCCUGCGAGUCAGCGGCAUGUCGCGAGGUUAACCCGUGUGGGGUAGCCGUAGGGAAACCGAAUCCUAAUGGGGUGUCAAGUGGCAUGUCCUGGACCCGAAGCGGGGUGAUCUACCCAUGGCCAGUGUGAAGCAGCUGUAAGAGGUUGUGGAGGCGCGAACCCACGUAGGUUGAAAACUGCGGGGAUGAGCUGUGGGUAGGGGUGAAAGGCCAAUCAAACUCCGUGAUAGCUGGUUCUCCCCGAAAUGCAUUUAGGUGCAGCGUCGUAUUAUAGCUUGGUGGAGGUAGAGCGACUGGUUGGUUGAGCGGGACUACAAUCUUAGCAAUGUCAGCCAAACUCCGAAUGCCACUAAUUGUGUUGUACGGCAGUGAGACUGUGGGGGAUAAGCUUCAUAGUCGAGAGGGAAACAGCCCAGAUCGCCGGUUAAGGCCCCUAAGGGUGUACUAAGUGGAAAAGGAUGUGGGAUCGCGAAGACAGCCAGGAGGUUGGCUUAGAAGCAGCCAUCCUUGAAAGAGUGCGUAAUAGCUCACUGGUCGAGUGGUUCUGCGCCGACAAUGUAGUGGGGCUCAAGUACACCGCCGAAGCCGCGGCAACAAUUUUUUUGUUGGGUAGGGGAGCGUCGUGCAUGGGUUGAAGCGUUACCGUAAGGAGGCGUGGACUGUGUGCGAGUGAGAAUGCAGGCAUGAGUAACGAAUUGAUAGGUGAGAAUCCUAUCCGCCGGAUGACUAAGGGUUCCUGGGUCAAGUUCGUCUUCCCAGGGUGAGUCGGGACCUAAGGCGAGGCCGACAGGCGUAGUCGAUGGAUAACCAGUUGAUAUUCUGGUACCCGUACAUGCGCGCCCAUGAUAAAGCACUGAUACUAACCACCGCGGAUGCAUUGCUGGUCUUCUUUGAAGUCUGGUGGUGUUGAUGUCGUGGGGCCUGAUGUGUGGUUCAAGUGAUGGGGUGACGCAGUGAGGUAGCCACGCCACUUAUUGGAUUGGUGGUGUAAGCGUGCAGACCGUGUGGUAGGUAAAUCCGCUACACAUUUUGGUUGAGGCGUGAUGCGUAGACCCAUUGGGGUUGAUGGUGGUGAUCCUGUACUGUCGAGAAAAGCCUCUAGCGAUGUGUGUGUAUGGCCCGUACCCUAAACCGACACAGGUGGUCAGGUUGAAAAUACUAAGGCGUUCGGGUGAACUGUGGUUAAGGAAUUCGGCAAAAUGCCCCCGUAACUUCGGGAGAAGGGGGGCCCUACGACGUGAGCAUCCUUGCGGUGUUAAGCGUUGUGGGGUCGCAGAGAAUAGAGGGAAGCGACUGUUUAUCAAAAACACAGGUCCAUGCGAAGACGUUAAGUUGAUGUAUAUGGACUGACGCCUGCCCGGUGCUGGAAGGUUAAGAGGACCGGUUAGUCAACUUUGUUGGCGAAGCUGAGAAUUUAAGCCCCAGUAAACGGCGGUGGUAACUAUAACCAUCCUAAGGUAGCGAAAUUCCUUGUCGGGUAAGUUCCGACCUGCACGAAUGGCGUAA
Molecule: ribosomal RNA, 2163 nt
Filed under: human gut metagenome
Description: bacterial LSU rRNA
Rfam family: Bacterial large subunit ribosomal RNA
Source: RNAcentral